AAACGACUCUCGACAACGGAUAUCUCGGCUCUCGCAUCGAUGGAAAACGUAGUGAAAUGCGAUACUUGGUGUGAAUUGCAGAAUCCCGUGAACCAUCGAGUCUUUGAACGCAAGUUGCGCCGAAGCCAUUAGGCCGAGGGCACGUCUGCCUGGGCGUCUCGCAA
This 164-nucleotide ribosomal RNA is filed under the name Alangium chinense. Its description in RNAcentral is "5.8S ribosomal RNA". It matches the Rfam family "5.8S ribosomal RNA". Rfam says of the family: 5.8S ribosomal RNA (5.8S rRNA) is a component of the large subunit of the eukaryotic ribosome. The record is from RNAcentral. Lineage: Eukaryota; Viridiplantae; Streptophyta; Magnoliopsida; Cornales; Cornaceae.